GCGGCCGUGUUCUUGUCGUGCUUUGAGAGUUCAUUUCUUAAACUCGUUAGGGCUUUUUGUUUUUCUCAUUCUUCAGAAAGGCAAGAGUAAUUUCUCCCUCUACUGUCGGGAAUCUGAGAUUCUGUUACCCCCAGAGAGACGCUUUUCUGCAUCUUUUCCUUUCACACAUUUUAUUCUUCUGUUGGAGGGACUCCCUCCUGGUCCUUCGAGAAGUCUCGCCGCUUUAUUUGGUUUUAGUUCUGUUCUUUAAGGGAAUUCCAGCCCCCAGGUGAUCUUUAUUUCUCUCUUUAGAGGAUCCCCGCCCGCCUCCAUCCUCGUCCCCGGGGAUACUAGCCCAUCACCGCAGCGGUCUGAGGGAUGGAGCUUACCGGCUCUCGGGAAUCCCUAUCUCGAGAAGGCUCUUCCUUGCCUGGAGAGUGGUCUUCCUCCGCCCUCGGACAGGCCUUCUCCCAGAUCUUACACCAACUUACUGGCCAGGAAUCCCGGCGGAGCAAGGCCAGAAAUGCAGCUCUUCAGGACCUCAGUGCUCUACUAGAAGCCACAGAGUGUGAUACAUUAUUUGAGGGGAGUGACGCCUCGCUCCGUGGAAUGCCCCAGCUGCUGGGGCAGGUGGCAGAAGCCCUGGAGAAGUAUGCAGCCCCACCCAGGGAGUCAGAGGGGAGAGGUGAGCGUCACUCUGAAGUGGCUGAGAAAGCGGCUGCAGUUGGGUUGCUGUUUCUUAAGCUACUGAGGAAAGUUGAGGCCGCCAAGAAUUCCUUGGUUUGCCCUGCUUGGAAGACAGGCCUCCGUCACUUGGCAGGACCCAUCUAUAUUUUUGCCGUCACACACAGUUUGGAGCAACCGUGGACCAGCUCGAGCCCUCAGGACGUUGCUGAACAGGUGCUCGCCUUACUGCUUCAAGUUACUGAGUGUGGUUCCGUGGCAGGAUUCCUCCGCGGAGAAAAGGAAGAUGAGAAAGGGAGAUUUCCGACGAUAAUGGGGCUUCUCAAAUCCGAUUUGAAUAAGGAAUCCUGGAAGAAUAACCCUGCCACCAAACAUGUUUUCUCAUGGACUCUGCGAAAGGUCACCCGACCCUGGCUGAGCCAACAUCUGGAAAGGACACUUCCCCCAUCACUGCUUAUCUCAGACGACUAUCAAACUGAGAACAAAAUCCUGGGGGUUCGCUGCCUCCAUCACCUCGUGCUUAACGUGCCAGCCGCUGAUCUGCUCCAGUACAACCGGGCCCAGGUGGUAUACCACGCCCUUUUCAACCACCUGUACACACCGGAGCACCACCUCAUUCAGGCUGUGCUCCCGUGUCUGCUGGAUUUAUUCCCCAUCCUGGAGAAAGCCCUGCACUGGAAGGGAGGUGCGGCCCGACCCACCACACACUGUGACGAGGUCCUGCAGCUGGUCCUGACCCACAUGGAGCCCGAGCACCGCCUCCUCCUGCGCAGGACCUACGCGAGAAACCUGCCAGCUUUUGUGAAGAGGUUGGGGAUCCUAACUGUCCGGCACUUGAAGAGGCUGGAGCGAGUCAUCGUUGGUUAUCUGGAGGUUUAUGAUGGACCUGAGGAGGAGGCUAGAUUGAAGAUGCUGGAAACCCUGAAACUUCUCAUGCAGUACACUUGGCCCAGAGUUUCCUGCAGACUUGUGGUCUUCCUGAAGGCUCUCUUGAAACUGAUAUGUGACGUAGCAAGGGAUUCAAGCCUCACACCCGAGCCUGUUAAGAACGCUUUGUUAGAAGAGGCCACAGACUGCCUGAUUCUCCUGGACCACUGCUCCCGAGGACAGGUGAAGGGUCUCCUGGCUAACAUCCCCCAAAGCUGUGAAGACAGUAAGGUGGUGAGCUGUAUCCAAAAAGUGCAGCGGGUUACUGAAGGCGCUCCCUGUGACGGAACUUAAGACUUGUAUUAUUUUCCUCAAGAGGAGAGGAUUUUCUUCUCUUCCAGCUGUUUUAAAUGGAAUUAUUUAAGGAAAAAGCAUCUGAAGAGUCACUCUCUGCCUCCUGCUGUUCCAGGGCCUUGUCGAAGGCAUGAAUGGGGAAGUUGUAGAUGUCUCCGUACUGAACAAAGUAAACACGGGUGCCUCGACUCAGUCCACGAUGCAGAUAGCUGUGUGUCACUUACCGUGAGCAGGAUAUGCCGGGGAAAAGCACUGCACAAGGGGUUUGAAGGUGGCGACCUUACUCCUUUAUUCAGACUAUUGCAGCACAGAGCUAUUUGCUCAGCUGAGUUUGCUGGGUGAAGUGGAUUUACAGAUGACACUGAACAGUUUGCAGUAAGGUAGGGAGUAGUUAUAAAGAUGUAAACUGGUCAUUUAAUGGUUCAGUACUUCAAAAAAAGUUGUAGAACUUAAAAACCCAUGCUUUUUUCACAAAAAGAAAAAUGUUCCAGAUUUGUCAACCUUUUCUAAGAUGACAAAUGGCUGUCCAUAAUGUGUAACAUAGCAGAAGUUUAAAAAAAUAAAUACGACUUACUCUGUUUUUUUCCAAA
Vicugna pacos (alpaca) is the source of this 2474-nucleotide non-coding RNA. The record is from RefSeq and is a predicted model, not a curated record. NCBI's taxonomy places the organism in Eukaryota, Metazoa, Chordata, Mammalia, Artiodactyla, Camelidae.